UUAAGCCAUGCAAGUCGAACGAGUUUAGGCUCGUGGCGUACGGCCCAAUAACACGUGGAUAACCUACCCUUAGGACCGGGAUAACCUUGGGAAACUGAGGAUAAUACUGGAUAGGCAAUUAUUUCUGCAAUGGUUUUUUGUUUAAAUGUUUUUUCGCCUAAGGAUGGGUCUGCGGCCGAUUAGGUAGUUGGUUAGGUAAAGGCUUACCAAGCCGUUGAUCGGUACGGGUUGUGAGAGCAAGAGCCCGGAGAUGGAACCUGAGACAAGGUUCCAGGCCCUACGGGGUGCAGCAGGCGCGAAACCUCCGCAAUGUGAGAAAUCGCGACGGGGGGAUCCCAAGUGCCAUUCUUAACGGGAUGGCUUUUCAUUAGUGUAAAGAGCUUUUGGAAUAAGGGCUGGGCAGGACCGGUGCCAGCCGCCGCGGUAA
RNAcentral lists this ribosomal RNA (427 nucleotides) under uncultured archaeon. RNAcentral describes it as "bacterial SSU rRNA". It matches the Rfam family "Archaeal small subunit ribosomal RNA", at positions 44 to 473 of the family's 1478-position model. The record is from RNAcentral.